GUCUGAAGGCGCUCCGCUCCAGCCUGUUCUCUCUGCUCCCACAAACCCCGAGACCAGGUUCAACCGGGAGCUCGGCCAGCUCCUGAGCCAGGUCAAAUACCGGGAGAGCGUGCGGAGUCUCCACAGAAGUCUGUACUGUCAACUCCCUCAGACCAACGAGACGAGCUUCGCCAAAAGUCUGUCUGAAAUCACCAGCCAGGUGAAGUACAGAGACAGUGGGAGGAAGUGGGCGUCCUGCUGUUUGUACUCAAAGCUCCCUGAGACUCUGGAGACACUCCGAGCUAAAGAGCUGUCCCACAUCCAGAGCCAGGUGAAGUACAGACAGGUCCACAGCAGCAACAGCAGCAGUUUGUACCAUCAGCUCAGAGAGACCCCAGAGACACAGCUGUCCAGAGCUCUACAGGAGGUCUACAGCCAGGUGAAGUACCGGGAGCAGGUCCGCGGGACUCUGGCCCAGACGCUCUUCUCUGAGCUCCCACAGACGGCAGACACUCUGAGGGCCAAAGAGCAGGCGGAGAUCCACAGCGAGGUGCUGUACAGGCGGGACAGAGCGGAGCAGAGUCUGAGCCUGUUCUCGGUGCUGCCUCACACUCUCACCACUCAGUUCGUCAGAGACAUGGCCGACACGCACAGCCUGGUGAAGUACAGAGAGGCCAUGAAGAAGGACUGCAGUAACGCUCUGUACCACACACUUCCUGAAACUCUGGAGACGCAAAGAGUCAAAGAGGUCACUCAGCUGCAGAGCCAGGUGAAGUACGCUGAGGGGAAGAAGGUGCUGUCCCAGAGUCUGUACUCGCAGCUGCCGCAGACGGCCGAGACGCAGCAGGCCGCCAAGAUGGCCGACCUCAGCAGCGAAG
Molecule: long non-coding RNA, 857 nt
Filed under: Neogobius melanostomus (round goby)
Lineage: Eukaryota; Metazoa; Chordata; Actinopteri; Gobiiformes; Gobiidae
Description: lncRNA (ENSNMLG00000011279.1)
Source: RNAcentral